RNAcentral lists this ribosomal RNA (521 nucleotides) under uncultured bacterium. Its description in RNAcentral is "bacterial SSU rRNA". It matches the Rfam family "Archaeal small subunit ribosomal RNA", at positions 345 to 866 of the family's 1478-position model. The record is from RNAcentral.
AACCUCCGCAAUGUGAGAAAUCGCGACGGGGGGAUCCCAAGUGCCAUUCUUAACGGGAUGGCUUUUCAUUAGUGUAAAGAGCUUUUGGAAUAAGAGCUGGGCAAGACCGGUGCCAGCCGCCGCGGUAACACCUGCAGCUCUAGUGGUAGCAGUUUUUAUUGGGCCUAAAGCGUCCGUAGCCGGUUUAAUAAGUCUCUGGUGAAAUCCUGUAGCUUAACUAUGGGAAUUGCUGGAGAUACUAUUAGACUUGAGACCGGGAGAGGUUAGAGGUACUCCCAGGGUAGAGGUGAAAUUCUGUAAUCCUGGGAGGACCGCCUGUUGCGAAGGCGUCUAACUGGAACGGUUCUGACGGUGAGGGACGAAAGUUAGGGGCGCGAACCGGAUUAGAUACCCGGGUAGUCCUAACCGUAAACGAUGCGGACUUGGUGUUGGGAUGGCUUUGAGCUGCUCCGGUGCCGAAGGGAAGCUGUUAAGUCCGCCGCCUGGGAAGUACGGUCGCAAGACUGAAACUUAAAGGAAUU